This 260-nucleotide ribosomal RNA is filed under the name uncultured Chytridiomycota. RNAcentral describes it as "partial 18S ribosomal RNA". It matches the Rfam family "Eukaryotic small subunit ribosomal RNA", at positions 624 to 886 of the family's 1831-position model. Lineage: Eukaryota; Fungi; Chytridiomycota. The record is from RNAcentral.
AAGCUCGUAGUUUGAAUUUCGGACCUGGCUGGGUGGUCUUGCCGCAAGGUAAGCACUGCCUCUGGUCGGGUCUUUCCUUCUGGGGAACCUGUGUGCCCUUAAUUGAGUGCGCAGGGGAUCCAGGACUUUUACUUUGAAAAAAUUAGAGUGUUUAAAGCAGGCUUUCGCUUGAAUACAUUAGCAUGGAAUAAUAGAAUAGGACUUUGGUUCUAUUUUGUUGGUUUCUAGGACCGAAGUAAUGAUUAAUAGGGAUAGUUGGG